Long non-coding RNA from Melozone crissalis (California towhee), 289 nucleotides. RefSeq lists it as uncharacterized. Lineage: Eukaryota; Metazoa; Chordata; Aves; Passeriformes; Passerellidae. The record is from RefSeq and is a predicted model, not a curated record. The transcript has 3 exons.
GUCUUACUGGAAUAUCUGAAAUGAGUGAUGCCAGACUGAUAAUCACAGAUAAGUAAUCAGAGUAUUUAGAAACAUGGGAACUGUGACAUCCGUGAUUAAGGGCUGGAAGAAAACUCAUGGGAAGUAUUGUGUGUGCUUGCUCUGUUCUGCUCUUCCUGGACCUCCACAUUCGAUCACUGUCAGGAGCAAAAUAUGAACUAGGCAGAUCUUUGUUGUGACUCAUGUUCUUGUCUGUUUACCAUACCACAAAGACAUUGCUGAGCCUCUGCUUAAGUGGAAGGUAGGAGGU